CCCGUUGUUCCCCACCGCUCAACGCCGUCCCCGUUGUCCCCCGUUGUUCCCCGCUGCUCACUGCUGUCCCCUGUUGUGCCCUGUCGUCCCCCGCCGCACCCUGCCAUUCUCCGUCACUCGCUGCCGUUCCCCGUCAUUCCCCGUGGCUCUCUGUCGUCCCCCGCCACUCGCUGCCGUUCCCCGUCAUUCCCCGCCGCUCUCCGUCUUCCCCCGUCGCUCACCGCCGUCCCCUGCCGUUCACCCGCUUGCUGCCGCUUGCCCCCUCUUGCCACCGUCCCCCGUCGCCCCUCGUUGUUCCCCGAUGCUCGACGCCAUCCCCCGUCGUUCCUCACCGCUCGCUGCUGUCCCCUGUUGUCCCCCGUCGUCCCCCUCUGUCCCACGCCGCUUCCCGCCGUUUCCCCGCUGCUGCCGCUCGCCCCCACUUGCCGCCGUCCCCCGUCGUCCCCCGCUGCUUGAUGCCGUCCCCCGUUGUCCCCUGGCAUCCUCCGUCAUCUGCCGGCGUCCCCUGCCGCUUUCCGCCGUCCCCCGCCGUUCCCCCGCUGCUGCUGCUUGCCCCAUCUUGCCGCCGUCCCCCGUCAUCCCUUGUUGUUCCCCGCCGCUCAAUGCCAUCCCCCGUUGUCCCCCGUUGUUCCCCGCUGCUUGCCGCUGUCUCCCGUCGUCCCCUGCUGCUCCCUGCCGUUCCUCGUCGCUCGCCGCCGUUCCCUGUCAUUCCCGCCGCUCUCCGUCGUCACCCGCCGCUUGCUGCUGUCCCUCGCUGCUCCCCGCUGUUUCACCACUGCCGCCGCUCGCCCCCACUUGCCGCCGUCCCCCGUCGUCUCCCGCUGCUCGAUGCCGUCCCCCGUUGUCCCCUGGCAUCCUCCGUCAUCUGCCGGUGUCCCCCGCCGCUCUCCGCCGUCCCCCGCCGCUCACCGCCGUCCCCGGCUGUUCCCCUGCUGCCGCUGCUUGCCCCCUCAUGCCACCGUCCCCCGUCGUCCCUCGUUGUUCCCCGCCGCUUGAUGCCGUCCCCCGUCGUCCCCCGUUGUUCCCCGCUGCUCGCCACUGUCCCCCGUUGUCCCCUGCCGCUCCCUGCAGUUCCCCGUCGCUCGCCGCCGUUCCCCGUCAUUCCCCCCCGCUCUCCGCCGUCCCCCGCCGCUCGCUGCCAUCCCUCGCCGCUCGAUGUCGUCCCCUGUUGUCCCCUGUCGUCCCCUGUCGUCCCCC
This 1197-nucleotide long non-coding RNA is filed under the name Numida meleagris (helmeted guineafowl). RNAcentral's name for it is "lncRNA (ENSNMEG00000000941.1)". Lineage: Eukaryota; Metazoa; Chordata; Aves; Galliformes; Numididae. The record is from RNAcentral.